CCUACGGGAGGCAGCAGUGAGGAAUAUUGGUCAAUGGGCGUAAGCCUGAACCAGCCAAGUCGCGUGAGGGAUGAAGGUUCUAUGGAUCGUAAACCUCUUUUAUACGGGAAUAAAGUGCGGGACGUGUCCCGUUUUGUAUGUACCUUAUGAAUAAGGAUCGGCUAACUCCGUUCCAGCAGCCGCGGUAAUACGGAGGAUCCGAGCGUUAUCCGGAUUUAUUGGGUUUAAAGGGUGCGUAGGCGGGCUUUUAAGUUAGAGGUGAAAGUCUGGGGCUCAACCAUAGAAUUGCCGUUGAAACUGGGAGGAGUGAGUAUGGUAGAGGCAGGCGGAAUGCGUGGUGUAGCGGUGAAAGGCUGAGAUA
RNAcentral lists this ribosomal RNA (361 nucleotides) under uncultured bacterium. Its description in RNAcentral is "partial 16S ribosomal RNA". It matches the Rfam family "Bacterial small subunit ribosomal RNA", at positions 338 to 696 of the family's 1533-position model. The record is from RNAcentral.